CGGAUACGAACGUGCGGCAUGGAACUCGAGUGAUGAUGGUGGGGUUCGAACCCACGCCCGAAGACUGGUG
RNAcentral lists this transfer RNA (70 nucleotides) under Pelagomonas calceolata. The record is from RNAcentral. Lineage: Eukaryota; Pelagophyceae; Pelagomonadales; Pelagomonadaceae.